UCGCUGUGAAGAUGCAGUGUACCCGCGGCAAGACGGAAAGACCCCGUGAACCUUUACUAUAGCUUGACACUGAACAUUGAGCCUUGAUGUGUAGGAUAGGUGGGAGGCUUUGAAGUGUGGACGCCAGUCUGCAUGGAGCCGACCUUGAAAUACCACCCUUUAAUGUUUGAUGUUCUAACGUGGACCCGUAAUCCGGGUUGCGGACAGUGUCUGGUGGGUAGUUUGACUGGGGCGGUCUCCUCCUAAAGAGUAACGGAGGAGCACGAAGGUUGGCUAAUCCUGGUCGGACAUCAGGAGGUUAGUGCAAUGGCAUAAGCCAGCUUGACUGCGAGCGUGACGGCGCGAGCAGGUGCGAAAGCAGGUCAUAGUGAUCCGGUGGUUCUGAAUGGAAGGGCCAUCGCUCAACGGAUAAAAGGUACUCCGGGGAUAACAGGCUGAUACCGCCCAAGAGUUCAUAUCGACGGCGGUGUUUGGCACCUCGAUGUCGGCUCAUCACAUCCUGGGGCUGAAGUAGGUCCCAAGGGUAUGGCUGUUCGCCAUUUAAAGUGGUACGCGAGCUGGGUUUAGAACGUCGUGAGACAGUUCGGUCCCUAUCUGCCGUGGGCGCUGGAGAACUGAGGGGGGCUGCUCCUAGUACGAGAGGACCGGAGUGGACGCAUCACUGGUGUUCGGGUUGUCAUGCCAAUGGCACUGCCCGGUAGCUAAAUGCGGAAGAGAUAAGUGCUGAAAGCAUCUAAGCACGAAACUUGCCCCGA
Molecule: ribosomal RNA, 755 nt
Filed under: Salmonella enterica
Lineage: Bacteria; Pseudomonadati; Pseudomonadota; Gammaproteobacteria; Enterobacterales; Enterobacteriaceae
Also listed under: 3 other names
Description: partial 23S ribosomal RNA
Rfam family: Bacterial large subunit ribosomal RNA
Source: RNAcentral